CCAAGGCUCCUGGUGGUGGCCCCUCCUGCCACCCCUCCACCUCAGCUCUGACAUGGCCCACUGAAGGGAAGGGCAAGAGGCAAGGAGGGGAGGAACUGAUCUUUCCAAAAGCCAGCUCCUGGGACCUGAGCUUGCUGCGGAGUGUACAGUCAUCCCUUAGCUGUGGAGGGACAGGUAAGGACCUGGGGUGCCUGGCCCACCAUUCCUGCUGCCUGCUGCACAGAACUGUCAGGGAUGGUCUCGGCUGAUUCUUCCUGCUUUGCCUUAUCUUAGUGACAGGUUUCUGGAACUAUAUCCUUGGGGCACCCUUCACCUUGAAACCCAGAAGGAGAGGGCCAUCUCUACCUGCCCAACCCUUGCUCUCAUUCCGCUCCUGCGGGGCCACCGGUCUCCAGCCAGUCCCAGCUGCCUGUGCCGGUUACCCGAUCCACCCUGUAGCCCUGCAAACUUUAUGGUAUUCUGGGCGGUGGCUGGCCUGGUGGAGGCGGGGGCUUCUACUUAAAGGAACCGUCAGAGGGUGCCCUGUGGGCCCCAGCCUUCUUCCCUUCCCCAGGACAAGAGGGGUCAAGGUGGGAGACCCCUGUCAGAGUUCUUGGUGGAGUGUGGGAAGGCAGCCGUGUCAGCCUCACAGACUUCUAGUACCUGAGAAGAGGUGCAGCAACUGCUUUGCUCUUUGCACUUGGUGCCCUCUGGAAUGA
Molecule: long non-coding RNA, 698 nt
Filed under: Mus spicilegus (steppe mouse)
Lineage: Eukaryota; Metazoa; Chordata; Mammalia; Rodentia; Muridae
Description: lncRNA (ENSMSIG00000018439.1)
Source: RNAcentral